UACGUAGGUGGCAAGCGUUGUCCGGAUUUAUUGGGCGUAAAGCGAGCGCAGGCGGUUCCUUCAGUCGGAUGUGAAAGUCCCCGGCUCAACCGGGGAAGUUCAUUGGAAACUGGGGAACUUGAGUGCAGAAGAGGAGAGUGGAAUUCCAUGUGUAGCGGUGAAAUGCGUAGAUAUAUGGAGGAACACCAGUGGCGAAGGCGGCUCUCUGGUCUGUAACUGACGCUGAGGCUCGAAAGCGUGGGGAGCAAACAGG
Molecule: ribosomal RNA, 253 nt
Filed under: uncultured bacterium
Lineage: Bacteria
Description: partial 16S ribosomal RNA
Rfam family: Bacterial small subunit ribosomal RNA
Source: RNAcentral